This 831-nucleotide ribosomal RNA is filed under the name Triticum aestivum (bread wheat). Its description in RNAcentral is "partial small subunit ribosomal RNA". Lineage: Eukaryota; Viridiplantae; Streptophyta; Magnoliopsida; Poales; Poaceae. The record is from RNAcentral.
AUGCUCAUCCACUCUACCUCAUCUACAUCUAUCCACAGGGUCUGCUGUCAGAGAGUUUGCAACAUGUCUGAUCAAAGUGAUAGCCAGAACAAGACCGAUGAGCAAGUUCAGAUGAGUGAGGGCACUAGUCCCUCAAGCAGUUAUGAUGAGGGCAGCAGGAGUACACCUAGCAAUUUACCAAAAGCUGCCACCAGGGCAAGGAAGAAGAAAACCUUAGAUUCUGAAGAUGAGGAUUAUAUUGCUGUUGAGGAUGAGGCCACUUCUAAGAAGAAGGUGCUGAAAAAGGAGUAUGGCACAGCUGCUACCACCAAGCCAGGCAUGCACAAGAAGGCACCUGCCAGGAGAAUUCCCGCUUCCAAUCCUAGGAAGGUUGCCACAGGUGAAACAACGGAGUUCACUCUUGAGUCCAAAAAAAUUGGAGAGGGCAAGAAAAGGAAUGAAAAGGUCAAGAAGACCAUGGCCAGAGUUAUUGGCAAGCCCUCUAUGAGGAGAUCCUCUGAUGAAGAAGAAGAGAAAGAGGAUGUUGCACCAGCUCCUAAAGCUCAGAAGCUAAUGGGAGAUGCAAUCAAAUCAGGGGCUGCUCCAUCUAAGCCCAAAGCUGCUCCUAAGGCUGCUGCACCAGCACCAAAGCCUAAACCCAAGAGGAACACCAGAAAUAUUCCUGCAUCUGAGAAGAACAAGGCCGCAGUGCCUGAAGCUGCUGAAGAAGAAGAUGAUUCUCUUGUGUUGAGGAAGUUGAAGCCCAAGAUUUCUGAUCACAAUGAUGCUCAUCCAGUUGCUGAAGACAUGCAUAUCAGAAAGGAUGCUGGACUGAGAUUGUGGAGACAGUGA